CCACCACUAAGCCAGUGGUGAACUCCACAUACGCAUCCUUUGCUGAGGAUACGGUUAACGGAGCGAAAGCGACGUUCAACCUCAAAAGAAGCAGAGGGGGCUUAGUGGUGGGGUGACUGCGUACCUUUUGUAUAAUGGGUCAGCGACUUAUAUUCUGUAGCAAGGUUAACCGAAUAGGGGAGCCGGAGGGAAACCGAGUCUUAACCGGGCGUUAAGUUGCAGGGUAUAGACCCGAAACCCGGUGAUCUAGCCAUGGGCAGGUUGAAGGUUGGGUAACACUAACUGGAGGACCGAACCGACUAAUGUUGAAAAAUUAGCGGAUGACCUGUGGCUGGGGGUGAAAGGCCAAUCAAACCGGGAGAUAGCUGGUUCUCCCCGAAAGCUAUUUAGGUAGCGCCUCGUGAAUUCAUCUCCGGGGGUAGAGCACUGUUUCGGCUAGGGGGUCAUCCCGACUUACCAACCCGAUGCAAACUGCGAAUACCGGAGAAUGUUAUCACGGGAGACACACGGCGGGUGCUAACGUCCGUCGUGAAGAGGGAAACAACCCAGACCGCCAGCUAAGGUCCCAAAGUCAUGGUUAAGUGGGAAACGAUGUGGGAAGGCCCAGACAGCCAGGAUGUUGGCUUAGAAGCAGCCAUCAUUUAAAGAAAGCGUAAUAGCUCACUGGUCGAGUCGGCCUGCGCGGAAGAUGUAACGGGGCUAAACCAUGCACCGAAGCUGCGGCAGCGACACUAUGUGUUGUUGGGUAGGGGAGCGUUCUGUAAGCCUGCGAAGGUGUCUCGUGAGGGAUGCUGGAGGUAUCAGAAGUGCGAAUGCUGACAUAAGUAACGAUAAUGCGGGUGAAAAACCCGCACGCCGGAAGACCAAGGGUUCCUGUCCAACGUUAAUCGGGGCAGGGUGAGUCGACCCCUAAGGCGAGGCCGAAAGGCGUAGUCGAUGGGAAACAGGUUAAUAUUCCUGUACUUGGUGUUACUGCGAAGGGGGGACGGAGAAGGCUAUGUUGGCCGGGCGACGGUUGUCCCGGUUUAAGCGUGUAGGUGUGUGUUCCAGGUAAAUCCGGUUCACUUUAACACUGAGGCGUGACGACGAGGCACUACGGUGCUGAAGCAACAAAUGCCCUGCUUCCAGGAAAAGCCUCUAAGCAUCAGGUAACAUCAAAUCGUACCCCAAACCGACACAGGUGGUCAGGUAGAGAAUACCAAGGCGCUUGAGAGAACUCGGGUGAAGGAACUAGGCAAAAUGGUGCCGUAACUUCGGGAGAAGGCACGCU
RNAcentral lists this ribosomal RNA (1270 nucleotides) under Salmonella enterica. Its description in RNAcentral is "partial 23S ribosomal RNA". It matches the Rfam family "Bacterial large subunit ribosomal RNA", at positions 568 to 1752 of the family's 2925-position model. Lineage: Bacteria; Pseudomonadati; Pseudomonadota; Gammaproteobacteria; Enterobacterales; Enterobacteriaceae. The record is from RNAcentral.